UACGUAGGGGGCAAGCGUUAUCCGGAUUUACCGGGUGUAAAGGGGGCGCAGACGGCAGCGCAAGCCAGGGGUGAAAGCCCGGGGCCCAACCCCGGGACUGCUCUUGGAACUGCGCGGCUGGAGUGCAGGAGGGGCAAUCGGAAUUCCGUGUGUAGCGGUGAAAUGCGUAGAUAUACGGAGGAACACCAGUGGCGAAGGCGGAUUGCUGGACAGUAACUGACGCUGAGGCGCGAAAGCGUGGGGAGCAAACAGG
Molecule: ribosomal RNA, 253 nt
Filed under: uncultured bacterium
Lineage: Bacteria
Description: partial 16S ribosomal RNA
Rfam family: Bacterial small subunit ribosomal RNA
Source: RNAcentral